This 253-nucleotide ribosomal RNA is filed under the name uncultured bacterium. RNAcentral describes it as "partial 16S ribosomal RNA". It matches the Rfam family "Bacterial small subunit ribosomal RNA", at positions 524 to 776 of the family's 1533-position model. The record is from RNAcentral.
UACGUAGGGGGCAAGCGUUGUCCGGAUUUAUUGGGCGUAAAGAGCGUGUAGGCGGCCAGACAGGUCCGUUGUGAAAACUCGAGGCUCAACCUCGAGACGUGGAUGGAAACCGUCUGGCUAGAGUCCGGAAGAGGAGUGUGGAAUUCCUGGUGUAGCGGUGAAAUGCGCAGAUAUCAGGAAGAACACCUAUGGCGAAGGCAGCACUCUGGGACGGUACUGACGCUGAGACGCGAAAGCGUGGGGAGCGAACAGG